Molecule: ribosomal RNA, 457 nt
Filed under: uncultured Methylocystaceae bacterium
Lineage: Bacteria; Pseudomonadati; Pseudomonadota; Alphaproteobacteria; Hyphomicrobiales; Methylocystaceae
Description: partial 16S ribosomal RNA
Source: RNAcentral
CACGAAGUUAGCCGGGGCUUCUUCUACGGGUACCGUCAUUAUCGUCCCCGUCGAAAGAGCUUUACAACCCUAGGGCCUUCAUCACUCACGCGGCAUGGUUGGAUCAGGGUUGCCCCCAUUGUCCAAUAUUCCCCACUGCUGCCUCCCGUAGGAGUCUGGGCCGUGUCUCAGUCCCAGUGUGGCUGAUCAUCCUCUCAGACCAGCUACCGAUCGUCGCCUUGGUGAGCCAUUACCUCACCAACUAGCUAAUCGGACGCGGGCCAAUCCUUCGGCGAUAAAUCUUUCCCCCUUACGGGGCUUAUCCGGUAUUAGCUCAAGUUUCCCUGAGUUAUUCCGAACCAAAGGGCAUGUUCCCACGCGUUACUCACCCGUCUGCCACUCCCGUAUUGCUACGAGCGUUCGACUUGCAUGUGUUAAGCCUGCCGCCAGCGUUCGCUCUGAGCCAGGAUCAAACUCU